UAAGUAAAGAUAAUAAGGGCGUACGGUGGAUGCCUUGGCGAUAUCAGCCGAAGAAGGACGCGGUAAGCUGCGAAAAGCUACGGAGAGGUGCAAGCAACCUGUGACCCGUAGAUAUCCGAAUGGGGGAACCCGGCAGUGGUUAUACACUGUCACCCAUAGCAUAGACUAUGAGGAGGGCACCCGGGGAACUGAAACAUCUAAUUACCCGGAGGAACAGUAAUCAAACGAGAUUUUCUUAGUAGCGGCGAGCGAACGGGAAAG
RNAcentral lists this ribosomal RNA (261 nucleotides) under Veillonella sp. AF36-20BH. RNAcentral's name for it is "partial 23S ribosomal RNA". It matches the Rfam family "Bacterial large subunit ribosomal RNA", at positions 1 to 265 of the family's 2925-position model. The record is from RNAcentral. Lineage: Bacteria; Bacillati; Bacillota; Negativicutes; Veillonellales; Veillonellaceae.